Molecule: long non-coding RNA, 613 nt
Filed under: Felis catus (domestic cat)
Lineage: Eukaryota; Metazoa; Chordata; Mammalia; Carnivora; Felidae
Description: lncRNA (ENSFCAG00000042323.2)
Source: RNAcentral
AACAAACAUUCCAAACUCCAAUGCCUUAUAGCAACAAACAUUUCUUUUUCUUGUCUGUGGUUCCGUGAGUAGACUAGGAUGGCAUUGCCUCAGGUGGAAAACUGGCUGGGGUUGCUCCAGGCCACAGAUCAGGUCCACAUCUGCUCCACAUCUCUCCAUGAACCAGUGGCUACCACAAGCAUGUCCUUCUCAUGGAAACUCACAAGAGCAGAAAAGGAUGAGGAAACUGAGGCUUAGAGGAGGGUGGAUCUGCUUCGAGCACUCUGCUUUAAGGACUCAAUGAAGAUACCGCAAUGUCCGAUCUAUACUGACACUCCACUGCAGAACAGCCCAUUCAAGGAAGUGUGAGCUUCUUUUCCCACCUCCCCUCUUCUUUGGACUCUAGGAAGGAAAUAGUUCAGGGAAAUGGUGUGACUUCAGGUCCAAGACUUACCCAUGAAGGACAAAAUCACAGCUCCUCCCCUUUCCCCCAUGAGACAGUCUGUCAAUAGAGUGUGAACUAAGAAAAAUCUCUGCAGUCAAAAUGGGGUGAACAUGGCAGAUAAAUUACCUCUUAUCUUUAGUUCCACUUCCUCUCCUAAUGAAUAAAUGAGUAAAUCAAUAGAUCCCUGCA